AACAAGGUUUCCGUAGGUGAACCUGCGGAAGGAUCAUUGUCGUUUGCUCGGAAAAACACGACCCUGUGCACGUAACCUAAUCCAUCGCUGCCGGGGCGGCUUUUAGCGGCCCCGGCCCACCGGACGCGGUCCUCACGGGCCGCGCGCCGGGAAUACGGCGCGGUAUGCGCCAAGGAACACGAGAUGCUGAGGCGGCCGGCGGAGCGCUCCGGCGCACCGCCUGUCGUCGAUGCAAAGUAAUACAUGAUGACUCUCGGCAACGGAUAUCUCGGCUCUCGCAUCGAUGAAGAACGUAGCGAAAUGCGAUACGUGGUGUGAAUUGCAGAAUCCCGCGAACCAUCGAGUCUUUGAACGCAAGUUGCGCCCGAGGGAUCCGCCCAAGGGCACGCCUGCCUGGGCGUUAGAAGCCUAUCCACGCUCGGUGCUUACUCAGCCCCGAUGCGGAUCAUGGCCCUCCGAGUCCUACGACGCGGUGGCCUUAAGUGUGCGGCCGCUGGGAGGAGCCGUGAGCGGCGAGUGGUGGAACGCUGCGUACGCCGCCUCGCGCUCCUUGUCGGCACACGGCCUUGACUGACCCUUUAACGAGGAGCCUUGCCUACCAAGGCGUGGCACUUCGGAUCGAUACCCCAGGUCAGCCUAAAGAAAAACCCA
This 651-nucleotide ribosomal RNA is filed under the name Schoenus rigens. RNAcentral's name for it is "eukaryotic LSU rRNA". The stretch from base 249 to 403 matches the Rfam family "5.8S ribosomal RNA". The record is from RNAcentral. Lineage: Eukaryota; Viridiplantae; Streptophyta; Magnoliopsida; Poales; Cyperaceae.